RNAcentral lists this non-coding RNA (89 nucleotides) under Clostridiales bacterium. RNAcentral's name for it is "c-di-GMP sequence". It matches the Rfam family "c-di-GMP-I riboswitch aptamer". From Rfam's summary of the family: GEMM was predicted in a large-scale screen for bacterial structured RNA regulatory elements. Genes associated with GEMM are involved in a diverse array of functions, including chemotaxis regulation, signal transduction, secretion and chitin. Lineage: Bacteria; Bacillati; Bacillota; Clostridia; Eubacteriales. The record is from RNAcentral.
CAAUGAAAAAAGCAAAGUAAGCGAAAGUUUGCGGCGCAAAACUAUAGGGUCUUAAUCCAUUUUUUUGGAUAUGACAGCCAGUUGCCACU